This 252-nucleotide long non-coding RNA is filed under the name Ananas comosus (pineapple). Its description in RNAcentral is "long non-coding RNA (ACOM_LNC022658)". Lineage: Eukaryota; Viridiplantae; Streptophyta; Magnoliopsida; Poales; Bromeliaceae. The record is from RNAcentral.
UAGGGCUUAGGGUUUUUUAGGGUUUUUUUUUUUUUUUUUUAGGGUUUAGGGGUUUAGGGUUUAGGGGUUUAGGGGUUUAGGGUUUAGGGUUUUAGGGUUUUAGGGUUUAAGGGUUUAGGGUUUAGGGUUUAGGGUUUAGGGUUUAGGGUUUUGUAGUAUCCUGAACUUUGCAAAAAAUUGUGAAGUUGGGAAGUGGGGUUGAGAAGUGGCUUGUACCCACAGGUUUUAUUGUUUGUAAAGGUGUUUUGGGCC